GGGACAAUUUACAAUGACAACGUUACAGACUGAAGGCUUAAGACAAGACCAAAUUCCAACCCCUCAAAAUGUCUCAGGAUUGUGGUGGAACACCAGAGUGCAGAGAGCAGGAGCAACUGUCUUGUUUGGAGUGGAAUUUUCUGGGUUAAAAAAAACCAAAACAAAACAAAACCUUCCUGUCUGAAGAUAACAUAAUGAACAAUGAGAAAUGCUUCCUUGUGUGAGGAUUCUGCACACAGUAAAUGCUCAAUAAAUACGAUUGCUGGAUUGACUACAGUACUCUGAAUACAGAAAGCACUCAAUAAAUAACAUGGAUUGAAAGAUAGACUGCUUACUUCUCAAGGUUCCUAGACUCAUUCAGAAGAAUGAUGCUGUCACUUGGGUUUGCUCGGUUUGGCCCCGGAGCAGAAACACACAACGUAUUGAUUCGGCCGUAAAAAAAUGAGGUCACUGAGGCGCC
Ornithorhynchus anatinus (platypus) is the source of this 460-nucleotide long non-coding RNA. RefSeq lists it as uncharacterized. Lineage: Eukaryota; Metazoa; Chordata; Mammalia; Monotremata; Ornithorhynchidae. The transcript has 5 exons. The record is from RefSeq and is a predicted model, not a curated record.